AAUCUCCCCUGGACUCUCUCCUGCAGCUCCAGGUGCUGCUGAUGUUGUUCCCCAGGGCUGGGGCAGCUCUGCAGGUGGGGCCUCACCUGAGAGGGGCAGAGGGACAGAAUCCCCUCCUCCCAUGGAUGCUGUUCUGCGUUCCCUGGCUCCACAGGGAGCUCCUUGCAGGGAGCUCAGGACGCUGCCUCUCCGCCCCUCAAACACAGGGACAGUGUUUGCCACAGCCACCAACCUGGCUGCCCCAGGAUCCCCCAGGCCAGGCUGGACACUCCGCUUGGAGCAGUGGGACAGUGCUGAGUGAUCCCCUGAGCUCCCUCCCAACCCAAACCAGUCUGUGGUUCUCUGAUUUCUCCCUUUGCAGGUUUCCAAGAACUUGGUGCUUCUCUGGGAAGCUGCUCCCGCUCCAGAUGUCCCGUGUCAGCUCUGCAGAGCUCCGGGAAGGAUUUCUCCUGGUGGCUGCUGUGUCAAAGCUUUCUCAGCUGUUGCACCCAAACCCCUCCAUCCUCCCACAGCCCUGCCAGCGCUCCUUCCCAGCCUGGCUGUGGGCUGGGCCCUUGGUGGUCCCUCACGGAGAUUCUGGCGGCGUGCCCUGCGAAGUUUUGCUCGUGUCAGUGUUUCCCUCCAGCCCCUGGGCACCAGGAGCCCUUUCCCACAGCGCUGUUUGCUGAAGCACAAUGUGCAGGGUGAUGCCAGGCUCCCUGCAGAAUCACUGAGUCGGCCGUUUGGGAAAUGAGAAAUCCCAGAAUCCUGGGAUGGUUUGGGUUGGAAGGGACCUCAGGGAACAUUUCGUUCCACCCCCUGCCAUGGCAGGGACACCUCCCACCAUCCCAGGUUGCUCCAAGUCUGGAACACUUCAGGGACAUAGGAAAACCUUUCUGUGGCAGAAUAAAGGGGGUGAAUUCUGUACCCCCCGGCUGUGUUGGCUCCGGGAGAAAACUUCCCAGGGAUUUUUUCUGCAAGUGCCCCCAGCCCAGCUCUGCCCCCAUCCUGCUGCUGCAGCCUGACGAGACCCGACACGAACUUAACGAAGCCCACGGCGUGGGGAGAAAGGCAAAAAACCCCUUUUUGCAUCAGGUGGAGGGGCGGCAGAUGGCCGGACCGCAGCUGAACAGGGUUUCCCGGCUGGGCGCAGUUUUCCCGUGCGUCCCUUUUCCCGGAGGAGCAGCAGGAACGCCUUGGAACGCCUUGGGAUGCCUUGGGACACCUUGGGACACCUUGGGACGCCGGUCCCGAGCUGGGGAAGUGCCGUGGCUGCCGGCUCGGGAUGGAGCCGCAGUUGUCCCUCCGUCAGCUCCCAGCUGGCAGCUGCUGCUAAACCUCCCUUUCAUCGCCGGCCAAAAGAGGCCGGGGUGUUUUGCUCCCCCCCCACCCCCGCCCUUUAAUCCUGACUUUCAUCAUUCUCCAGGCUGGGCCUGCCCUCCCCUCCGUGGGAUGGGCAGGGUCGGGGGGCAGGAGCUGUGUCUGGGCUCGGCCCUUCCCCCCAGACCCUCACCCCAAACCUUCUCUGGGCUGCCCGUGGUCGGAGGCAGCAGGAGAGCAAUGGGUUAACCCGCAGGGAUGUGGGGAUGCCCACGAUGGGAGCUGCUGCUGGGCUGGGGAGGAUGUCUGGGCCGGCUGCAGAGGUGCUUCCUGCACGUAAGAGAAUCGGCUUGUUUAAUUUCAGGAUUUUGGGAACGAGACCAAACAUCAAACAGCGUCAGUGCGAGGUGACAAAGCCCCAUCCCUGCCGGGGCGGGGGCUGCCCCGGGGUGGUCCCAGCAGAGCCAGGGGCUUCUGCUCCCUUUCCCCUUGGCUGUCCCUCGUUUGGGUGACCCUCUUCUGCUCCCCUGUUACCCUGCCUUGCCCUGUCCCACGCGGGACCCCGCUGGC
This 1869-nucleotide long non-coding RNA is filed under the name Ficedula albicollis (Collared flycatcher). RNAcentral's name for it is "lncRNA (ENSFALG00000016425.2)". Lineage: Eukaryota; Metazoa; Chordata; Aves; Passeriformes; Muscicapidae. The record is from RNAcentral.